Molecule: non-coding RNA, 68 nt
Filed under: Desulfovibrio sp.
Lineage: Bacteria; Pseudomonadati; Thermodesulfobacteriota; Desulfovibrionia; Desulfovibrionales; Desulfovibrionaceae
Source: RNAcentral
UAGCGAAACCGCCCCGUUGCGGGGCGGUCGUCGGAGCGUGGCGGCUCCGGCCUGACGAGCAGCUGAAA